Camelina sativa (false flax) is the source of this 1396-nucleotide non-coding RNA. The record is from RefSeq and is a predicted model, not a curated record. Lineage: Eukaryota; Viridiplantae; Streptophyta; Magnoliopsida; Brassicales; Brassicaceae.
GAGAGUGAGGGAGAGUUAGUUCAAGGGAGAGAAGUUCCAAAGUGCUGUCACUGUAGGAUCGUUUGGGUCGAGUUUCCGCCGGGUAGCUGUAGGAGUUUGAGUGGUUCUUGCUUAAGCUAGGCCAAUGUGAGUUUCAAUGCAUGUGAUAUGACACAUGAUAGGAUUUUUGUGUUGGUUGUUCGCUUGAGAGGUGUGAGUGUUGUUGCAUGUGUGCUUAAGAGGUGUGAGUGUUGUUGCAUGUGUGUUUGGGGUGAGUGUUAAGCGCUUUUUCCUUCGAAUUUGCGCUAUAAUGGCUAAAUCCUUAAGUCUUUGAGCUAAACUUAAGUGUUUGAGUGUGUUGGUGCGAGAGUGAGGUGUGUGUUUAAUCUCGAUUUUUAUCGAUAUUUUCCUAAGUUUAAAGUGAGGUUUUGGUGCGUGUUUUGGUUGAGUUUUCUUAAGUCUGUGUGAUAGACUUAAGUGCUUAGUUUUGUUUCUUAGUAUCUAGAUCGAUCUCUAGAUAGCAAAGUCUCAUUUAUUGUGUGAUUGUUUGUGAGUUCAGGGAGCAUUGAUCCGAUCUAGUUCGAAGUUGGGAGUCUCGUUCUAGAUUUGGUUUGCAUGUGCAUUUAGAUUUCAUCUUCUCGAUUUUCUUGAUAGAUUUUCUUAAAGUUUUGCAUCUAAAUUUGUUUGGUGAAGUGUUUUGGUGAAUUCCAUGGUUGAUCAUGAACGUGAUCGCUGAUUCGUUUAUUUGAUCUAUUGCAUGUGAGAUUAAGUAUUGAUACUUGUUGUUUUAUGUGUUCUUAAGACCAUACACUUAAGUAUCAACUGUUGGAUGGUCUUAGUGCGUGGUGUUUGUGACGGGAGGUCUAACUGACUAGCCAUAAGCGCACUAAGAAUUGGGAUGUGGCUGACCUUCCUUGGGAUCCAUUACAACAUGCAGCCUUGACUUGGUACUUGUGUUGCAUGUUGUUGCGAAGAGCUCGGUGGACUUGGUUUGCUACCUUGGCCGAGGCUGUCUACAUGACGGUGUAGUUUAUGUGUUGUACCGGUUGCAUGCCUUUGUGGUUGCAACGCGGGUGUAAAAAUGUAGUGGGAUGGAAGGCAGCAUAUAUGGAGGUGUUGUAUCGGUUGCAUGCCUUUGUGGUUGUAAUGUGGAUGUUCACAGGGAAGUGGGUGAAGUGGUGUUUUGUGGUUGAGGUGAAGGGCCCUUGCACAUGUGAAGGUAACCUUAGUCGGGAAAACCUUAGAGGGAGCAAAAGGACAUUAGGCCAACCGGUGUAGAAUUGUAUUGUCUUUGUAAGAUCAUUUUGUAAUGUUUAUUUUAAACUCAUUUUGGCUCUAGGCCUGGUACCAAAAACGUUGUGUAUGUUUUGGAAACGUGUUUUGUGAAAUAAAUAAAGUAUGGAAGUGUUUUAUUAAA